RNAcentral lists this long non-coding RNA (207 nucleotides) under Linum usitatissimum (flax). RNAcentral describes it as "long non-coding RNA (LUSI_LNC000133)". Lineage: Eukaryota; Viridiplantae; Streptophyta; Magnoliopsida; Malpighiales; Linaceae. The record is from RNAcentral.
AUUAUCAUAAUCUUCUUCAGGUUGCUCCAACCGUUGAUCUUCUUCUUAGCAGCAGAUUUGUUUCCCUCCUUUGAUUCUGAAUCAUUGAAAGUUUCGGCCUUUUUCAGCUCCAUUUGUUCUUGUUCGAUUCUGACUUUUCGCGAAGCAUCACAAGUUGGGGCACUACUAGCAUCCGAACCGGCAUCACUAUAAUCAACUGACUGAUUA